RNA transcript from Ananas comosus (pineapple), 3305 nucleotides. It is a transcript of the gene named protein FAR1-RELATED SEQUENCE 9-like, with no coding region annotated. The transcript has 3 exons. The record is from RefSeq and is a predicted model, not a curated record. NCBI's taxonomy places the organism in Eukaryota, Viridiplantae, Streptophyta, Magnoliopsida, Poales, Bromeliaceae.
GGAUGAUAAAACCAACAUGUUCCUCCAAAUGAGCUUCAAAAUCAUUCCGAAGACCGAGCCUACAUUUCUGAUUUUGGUCUGCUGUAGUUCUCAAAAGCGCUGGUUGUCGACCUCUUCCACUGAAGCCCGUCAAUCCUAACCAUCCAAGGCGCGGCUUCCGUAAAUCGACGGCCCUGAUCCAUUGUCGAACAGUGGCACCACCAUUGGUUCCUCCGCUGCACGGGGGAACGCGUGCUAUCUCGCGGUCUCUGCGUGUCGUCGAGAGUUUCCGAUUCCUAAAUUCGAGGGCGAUCGAAAGGAGAAAAAAAAAAAGGAAAAAGAAUCCCCAAAUUUGAUCGAAUAAUUCCGACGAUAAUAUAAGUGUGGCAAUUCGUUCUUUCCCGUAAUUUGUUUCCGUAUUUUUCGAUCCCAUUGGGUGAGAAGCUUUUCAUGGACAACAUCACGGCCCUAGCUCCGAGCAUGGGCUUCGACGCCGGCGAGGUGGAAGCCCCAAUCCCGAUCCAGUCCCAGGAACCCCACCUCGACCACCAACCCAUCGCCGCCGCCGCCGCCGCCGCCGCCGCAGAUCACGGGCUCCUAGCCGUCCGAUCGGACGUCCGGGACGGAGUCGACGGUGGAGAUCCUCCGCCUCCUCCGCCGGCCCCGGAUCCGCGGGAGCCGGCGAUCGGCAUGGAGUUCGAGUCGCCGGAAGCGGCGCGCGCGUUCUACGCGGGGUACGCCGAGCGCGCGGGGUUCCGCGUCCGCAACAGCAAGUCGUUCACCUCCCGCGUGGACGACUCGGUGAUCAUGCGCCGCUUCGUGUGCUCCAAGCAGGGCCGCCCGACGAAAAAGGACCCGUUCGACCUCACCAAGAAGCGCCGCAACCGCGCCUCCUCCCGCGAGGGCUGCAAGGCCAUGCUCCAGGUCAACCGCCGCGACACCGGCCGCUGGGCCGUCUCCCGCUGCCUGCUCGACCACUGCCACCCACUCGGCGCCUCCUUCACCGACAAGCCCCCGCCCGCCGCCGCCGCCGCCGCCGCUGCUGCCGCUUCGCAGAAGAAGCUCUCCAAGAAGCCGUGGGAGCUCCUCGCCUGCACCCCCGCCGAAUCUCACUCCCACCAGAACGGCCUCGGGCCCGGCGGUGGCGUCGCGCAGAGCUUGCUAGAAUACUUCAAGAAAAUGCAGGCCGAAAACCCCGCCUUCUUCUACUCGAUUCAGCUCGACCGGAAUAACUGCGUUCAGAACGUCUUUUGGGCGGAUGGGCGGGCCAGAAUGUCGUACAGCUAUUUCGGCGAUUCGGUUGUUUUUGACACGACCUGCAGGAAGAACAAGCGGUUGGUGCCGUUCGCGGCGUUUACCGGUAUGAACCAUCAUAGGCAGAUGAUAGUCUUCGGCUGCGCAUUUAUGACCGACGAGAGCGAGGAUUCGUUCGCUUGGCUUUUCGACACCUGGCUCAUGCUGAUGAGCCGGCAGAAGCCGGCGUCGUUCACCACCGGUUACAGUGAGGCUGUGGAAGCGGCGGCUCGGAAAGUCCUUCCUGAUGUUAGGCAUCGGUUCUGCAAGAGGGACGUCUUCAGUAAGAGCAAGGAGAAGCUGGCCGAUGUAUAUUCGGCGCAUCCUUCUUUCAAGGCCGAGUUGAAGAAAUGCGUGGGCGAGUCAGAGAGCGUCGAGGAGUUUGAAUCAAGUUGGAAUUCGCUGAUUGAGAGAUAUGAUUUGGUUGAGAAUAUAUGGCUGCUAAAGUUAUAUAGUAUUCGCCACAAAUGGGUCCCCGUGUUUUUCAAAGACAAGUUCUUCGGUGAAUUUUCCGGCGGUACAAAAUUAGAGACCAUGCAAAAAUUCUUUCAGAGGCACUCUAUUACGACGACAACGCUGCGUGAUUUGGUCACUCAGUUCGAUAAGGCCAUGGCGGGGCAAUACGAGAAGGAGAUUCAGGCGGAUUUUGCUACUAUUCAUACUAGACCCGUUAUGAAGACUCCGUCGCCGUUGGAGAAGCAGGCAUCUGAUAUUUAUACAAAAACGAUAUUUGAGUUGUUUCAGGAUGAAUUGGUUGAGACUUCAGGUUUUCUUACCGAGAAAGUUGACGAUGGCGUGACUAGCAUCUUUCGGGUGAUUAAAGUUGAGGAUUCCAGUAAAACACAUGUAGUUAAAUACAAUGAUUCGGAAAAGAGCAUUAUCUGUAGCUGCUGCAAGUUUGAAUUUUCGGGCAUUUUAUGCAGGCAUGUUUUCAGAGUGAUGAUGGUACUGAGUAUUCUUUCGCUGCCUGAUAGUUAUAUAUUAAAAAGGUGGACAAGGAAUGCCAAGAGCGAUGCCGUCUCCCUAAUACCGAGUAAUUGUAAAAAGCCCUUGAAUUGGCGGUCCAAUGAUCUUUUUCGCGAUGCCAUUAAGUUUGCAGAAGAGGGUGCCACAUCGGCAGCUAUUUAUAAAGUCGCAAAGGGAGCGUUGCAGAAGGCUUUUGCGGAAGUCUUAGCUUCCAAGAAAGGUUGUUCAUUUAAUGGGAGUAGCUAUUUUUGACUUCUUAAAAGGCGUAUUCUGGUAGUGGUAUCCAGUGGGUUUUCCUCAACAUGUAUGCAAUCCUCCCUUUCACUUGACCUUGGCAUCAUCCUCGAUUGAGGUUACAGAUGAAGCAUCAGGUUGUGAAUAUCAGAAGUCUCAGCUAUCAUUACUUCAAAAUUUUUCAGCUUCCGCGACAAAGGCCUAACAUUCCAAAGUGAGCCCUCAUAGGGCAUAUGCAAGUGAAAGAUAGCGACACCAGUUCACCGUCGCAGCAGGUGUCGUUGUGCUACCCAUGUAGUUCAUUACAAGAUCAAGAAUCCUAAAGAAUGUACUGAUCAAAUUACUUUUGCGAAUUACAGAUGCUCUCGGUUUAUUGUGAUAACAAAUUAGUUAAGAACGUCGGAGGAGAAGAUCGCGCUUUUUGUGUGCAUUUCCUGGUUUUCGGCGUUUGUGUGCCGAACAGAACUGUAUGUGUGGGUGAUUUGUAUGUAAUGAAACUGUGCUGCUGCAAUUGUCUAAAGACACAUUUCAGGGAGCUUUCUGAGUGCACGGUCUCGAGGAUGACAAGCUAAGAUUUGAGGGAUGAACUACAGAAUCAUUGGUUGAAGGAGGCCCCACACGAGGUCGCAUUUGAAUCCGCGAUUCUCAUGGAUCUGGUGGUCCUAGGUUUGUAGGGCCCACACCUGGCCUGACCCAUUAUUAUUUCUCUUUAUUUCUCUUGUGAAACGGUGGUGAAUUAUUUACCUAUCAGUUUAUUCUCUUUUAAGCCCUAUGUAUAAAGAUCACCGUUCUCCUCUUAAAAUAAUAAUAAUAAUAGUAAUUGAAAAUAAAAA